CGUACACGGUGGAUGCCCUGGCAGUCAGAGGCGAUGAAGGACGUGCUAAUCUGCGAAAAGCGUCGGUAAGGUGAUAUGAACCGUUAUAACCGGCGAUGUCCGAAUGGGGAAACCCAGUGUGAUUCGUCACACUAUCGUUAACUGAAUACAUAGGUUAACGAGGCGAACCGGGGGAACUGAAACAUCUAAGUACCCCGAGGAAAAGAAAUCAACCGAGAUUCCCCCAGUAGCGGCGAGCGAACGGGGAGCAGCCCAGAGUCUGAAUCAGCUUGUGUGUUAGUGGAACGGUCUGGAAAGUCCGACGGUACAGGGUGAUAGUCCCGUACACCAAAAUGCACAGGUUGUGAACUCGAAGAGUAGGGCGGGACACGUGGUAUCCUGUCUGAAUAUGGGGGGACCAUCCUCCAAGGCUAAAUACUCCUGACUGACCGAUAGUGAACCAGUACCGUGAGGGAAAGGCGAAAAGAACCCCGGCGAGGGGAGUGAAAAAGAACCUGAAACCGUGUACGUACAAGCAGUGGGAGCACCUUCGGGUGUGACUGCGUACCUUUUGUAUAAUGGGUCAGCGACUUAUAUUCUGUAGCAAGGUUAACCGUAUAGGGGAGCCGCAGGGAAACCGAGUCUUAACUGGGCGUUAAGUUGCAGGGUAUAGACCCGAAACCCGGUGAUCUAGCCAUGGGCAGGUUGAAGGUUGGGUAACACUAACUGGAGGACCGAACCGACUAAUGUUGAAAAAUUAGCGGAUGACUUGUGGCUGGGGGUGAAAGGCCAAUCAAACCGGGAGAUAGCUGGUUCUCCCCGAAAGCUAUUUAGGUAGCGCCUCGUGAACUCAUCUUCGGGGGUAGAGCACUGUUUCGGCUAGGGGGUCAUCCCGACUUACCAACCCGAUGCAAACUACGAAUACCGAAGAAUGUUAUCACGGGAGACACACGGCGGGUGCUAACGUCCGUCGUGAAGAGGGAAACAACCCAGACCGCCAGCUAAGGUCCCAAAGUCAUGGUUAAGUGGGAAACGAUGUGGGAAGGCACAGACAGCCAGGAUGUUGGCUUAGAAGCAGCCAUCAUUUAAAGAAAGCGUAAUAGCUCACUGGUCGAGUCGGCCUGCGCGGAAGAUGUAACGGGGCUAAACCAUGCACCGAAGCUGCGGCAGCGACACUAUGUGUUGUUGGGUAGGGGAGCGUUCUGUAAGCCUGCGAAGGUGUGCUGUGAGGCAUGCUGGAGGUAUCAGAAGUGCGAAUGCUGACAUAAGUAACGAUAAAGCGGGUGAAAAGCCCGCUCGCCGGAAGACCAAGGGUUCCUGUCCAACGUUAAUCGGGGCAGGGUGAGUCGACCCCUAAGGCGAGGCCGAAAGGCGUAGUCGAUGGGAAACAGGUUAAUAUUCCUGUACUUGGUGUUACUGCGAAGGGGGGACGGAGAAGGCUAUGUUAGCCGGGCGACGGUUGUCCCGGUUUAAGCAUGUAGGCUG
RNAcentral lists this ribosomal RNA (1464 nucleotides) under Klebsiella pneumoniae. RNAcentral describes it as "partial 23S ribosomal RNA". It matches the Rfam family "Bacterial large subunit ribosomal RNA", at positions 16 to 1527 of the family's 2925-position model. The record is from RNAcentral. Lineage: Bacteria; Pseudomonadati; Pseudomonadota; Gammaproteobacteria; Enterobacterales; Enterobacteriaceae.